This is a long non-coding RNA of Aricia agestis (brown argus), 2189 nucleotides long. RefSeq lists it as uncharacterized. The transcript has 2 exons. The record is from RefSeq and is a predicted model, not a curated record. Lineage: Eukaryota; Metazoa; Arthropoda; Insecta; Lepidoptera; Lycaenidae.
ACUCUACUACCUACCUACCUUAAGUGAAUGAAUUAGUUCGAAAUUUAAAAGCGCCGUAUACCGGAAGCGUCAAUGAUUGUGGUAAAGGUAAAAUCCCAGAUUUGAAAAACUUUAACCUCUUUUUUUGAAAAUUGAAACCAAUCGACUUUAUUUGGUAUUUUUUGCUUGUGAUAUCUGUUUUGUUUUAAUUUAUUUUAAUAUGAAAUGACUGUGUAUUUUAAAGUGGCAGUCAAUUAAUUUGUUUUCACAUUUAAUUCAAUGAGGACCAUUUGACAAGUAUUUUUCAAAUCUGUGAUUCUAUGAACCCUGUGAUAAUAAUAUGUAGCGUCAUUAUCUCAUCUCUCCCUAGAAAAUGUACUGAGUUCAAAUAUAAAUAUUGUAAUAGUAUAAUAUCUUAAUCUUUUAAAAAAGUAAUGCUAUUUCGCAUUUUUGAUGUUGCUAUACUAUUUCAUGCUAAUAUUUUAGAUGUGUCAGUCUCUGUGUUUGUUAUUUUUUUACACUGAACCGAUUAAAAUAUAAUUCUGAAAUGUUUUUGCUGGGUCCUGGUAUUUAGUAAAUGUUUUUAAAAGUUUUUCUUAGUUACGAACCAUUUUUAAGGUUCUUUAUAGCUUCCUAUCUUAAUCCUAAUAUUUGUGCUCAGUAAAUUUUCUAUCCAUUUUCAUCCUACGUAGUUUUAAUAGAUCUAAAUUCUAAUCAAUUAUGCCCUUAAUCAAUUAUAUCAAUUGAUAUUUAACCUUAGUGUCAUUAAAUUAGAACAUAAUAUCCCAUGCAUUGUGUUUCGGAAUUCUUAGAAAACUUAUUGUCUCUUUCUGUUACAACUGGAAGGCUCUUGCAAGAAAGAGAUAGAAUGCACAAUUAUGCUCGAAAAUGUCAGUAAUUAUAGUUUAAUAAAAUAAAAGACCAAAGCGUAUAGAAUUAUUAAUUUCUUAUUAAACUUGAAUUUAAAAAUAUACAUAAAACUUUAAAAUAAAAACAUUUGAUGUUCCUUAAAGUAUAAAAUUUACUUAAACGUAAUUAUAUUUACAUUAUUUAGUAUAUGAAUGUUAAUUUAUAGGUCAUUUUGUUGUUAAAAAUAUAAGACGAUAAUAUUGAAUAGUUCUGACAUUAAAUUUUGUUCUAUUUAUUUCGGGAAUGAUAAUAUGUUUUCGUAACAAUGUGGUGAGAAAAUCUUAUGAUUUGUUGUACUAUACUUUGUGCACAGAAUAUAGUCGAGUCAUUUAUUUGUAAUGGGGUCUUAAACCCCAUUCAGACCUUUCACAGUAAUAUUUAUUUUUAAUCGCAUAAUAUUUUUAACAAACAAUUGACCUUGAACUUAAAUUUCGUCCAAUAAUUUUACAAGCGUUCAUCUUGAAAUGUUAACGAUUAUUAUAUUUAAGUGCGCACAUUACAAAUUAUAUUAAGUUAUUGCUAAUAGAGAUGUAACCAAAAAUGGCCCCUAUAUGACUAAGUUAUCAUUUAAUUUAGCCUCAAGAAAAUGCGGUAAAUAUAGGCAUUAUAAUAAACUUUAUUGAUGUCUGCAUAUUAUUGUCAAUGAUGCAGGAAAGCCAGGAAUAUAAUAUUUCCUAAAUUUUUUAGAUAAUACUUUUCGAGAAGCUAAAGAAAGUAUUAGUAACACUUUUUAACAAGGCUACUUUUACCUGCUUUAAAAAACUAAUUAUAUUUUUAAUUUUUACGUUUUAUAGUCAUGUAGAGGCCAGAAAAAUGUCUAGGAGUAUGGAGUUACAAAAAGACGUAUGUAAAUGAAGUUUUUGAUGUUAUGGUCCGGUCGCAGUACAGAGAGAAAUGCGUCCAUUGACCUAUUGCUAUCUCAAUCAUACAAUAAAUAUUAAAUAUUUUUAUCUCUUGCACGCGCAUAUUAUACGAGCAACAGUCUAAUAUAUUUGUGUGCGUGUAAAAGAGACAAGUAGAUAUAGAUCAAUGACGAAUCUCUUUAUCCGGUGACCAGAUUUUACAACAUAAUUUAUAUUGUAUUGAAUUAUCAAAUUCAUUUUGUCCGAAUUGUAUGUCAAAGAAAUUAGCUCAAUAGAAUAAAACUAUAACAUCGUAGCAAUAUUAUGUACAGAUGUUUUUUGAGCAAAUCAUUUUGUAUCUUUGUUCAUUUUUGUAUAAUCUGUAUAAUAUAUGUGCCAACAAUAGAUAGAAAUUGUAGCUCCUACUCGGUAAACACAAUAAAAUGAUAUUACGAAUUA